CUCGAAGUCCAGAGCCACAUAGCAAAGCUUCUCCUUGAUGUCGCGCACGAUCUCACGCUCGGCUGUAGGGGGACAAGUUGUUGAGAGAUGAGUCAGAGUGACAGAACAGCCGGGAGCGCAGACACAGCGUGCUUUGGCCAAGUUCCUCACCGGUGGUGACGAAGGAGUAGCCACGCUCAGUCAGGAUCUUCAUCAGGUAGUCGGUAAGAUCGCGACCAGCCAGGUCCAGACGCAUGAUGGCGUGGGGCAGGGCGUAACCCUCAUAGACUGGGACGUUGUGGGUCACACCAUCACCAGCAUCCAGCACAA
Molecule: long non-coding RNA, 309 nt
Organism: Acanthopagrus latus (yellowfin seabream)
Lineage: Eukaryota; Metazoa; Chordata; Actinopteri; Spariformes; Sparidae
Exons: 2
Source: RefSeq, a predicted model, not a curated record